Pimephales promelas (fathead minnow) is the source of this 2062-nucleotide RNA transcript. It is a transcript of the gene named ATG10 autophagy related 10 homolog (S. cerevisiae), with no coding region annotated. NCBI's taxonomy places the organism in Eukaryota, Metazoa, Chordata, Actinopteri, Cypriniformes, Leuciscidae. The record is from RefSeq and is a predicted model, not a curated record.
CCAAUCACACUCUCUCCCGCGAGCGCACAGAACAGUGAAACAGCACAACGGACCGCUACAAUAAACUUGUUUCCCCGAAAUGCAGCUCACCUGACUGGAGCACUACAAUGGGCAUUUACACUUGUAACGGUUGAAAUGGGCAUUUAAACUUAUAACGGUGGGCGGCUUGAAACCGCCUGUGCUGAAUAACAUUGGCUGUUCCGUUUCACCCCCUCUGCGCUCAGGAUCCCGGAAGUAGCCGAGUGAGAUCAUGAUGGCAGGUGAGAAAACCCCUGCAUCAUGUUACUUGGAUGAGAGGACCUUCCGGCUUUGCUGUCGGCUCUUUCUCCAACACUCCGAGACUGUCCAGGAUGGCUGGAGCUGGGAGCAGAUCAAGGGCACCGAUGAAGGCUUCAUGAAGAAGACUGUUCUCAUCCCUGUAAAAUCAAGCGUGUUGGACAAACAUCACAGGUCUUUCAUGCAGGCUGAAAACAUGGACCCUCUUACAGAUGACAUUCAGGCAAACGUUGAGGAUGAAACGGCUGGAGUUCAGGCAGUAUGUGAAAUUCAUGCUGUGCUGCGCUAUGAAUACCACGUUCUGUAUUCUUGCAGCUAUCAGAUCCCCGUCCUCUAUUUCAGAGCCUCUACGUUAGAUGGGAAUCCUCUCUCUCUUGAGGAGGUGUGGAGCAAUGUUCAUCCGAACUAUAGACAGAGACUACAACAGGGACCCUGGGACACGCUGACCCAACAGGAACAUCCUUUACUGGGCCAACCAUUUUUCAUGCUUCAUCCAUGUCGCACUGAGGAGUUUAUGAAACCUGCUCUGGAUUUGGCACAGGCUGAAAACAAGAGGGUGAACUAUAUCGUGACCUGGCUGAGUGUUGUGGGCCCCGUCGUCGGGCUGGACGUCCCAUUGAGCUACUGCACUGAGGUGUCCGCUCCAGACUGAAGCUCCGCUGUUAGUGAUCUUCCUGUCUGUCUCAGACUCCACUGACCCAGAGGACGUGAAGAGGACACCAGUGACCCUGCUGAGGGUCUCUAAGAGGGUUCAAAAGUCUUGAAACAAUGCUUGAACAUCCAAGACACCAAGUCUUUAAGAGCCUUCUUGAGCUAGCUUUCUGACAUUUCUCUUCAUUACUCAUCCACGUAGCGUGCUGUGCCAGACCAGUUUAACAGUUGAAUGGAAUCGAAUCCCUCUGAAAUCCUGGCUUUCUGAAACGGAGGAGCUGAGUUUAGAGUCCAGAGUUUGAGAGAAGACGGUGAAAGUCCUCCGUCAGCAUGUCUAAAUGGGGCGCUCGUCUCUCAGGGGACUGUAUCAGUGUUGGUAAGGAGGUCAGCCUCCUACCCGGAGCAUCUCGCUCUAAUGGACGGACAGGAAUGAUGGAGAGGAGAGAGAGAAAUGCAUAGAUGGAUCACAGUGUAUGUUACCUGCUUAGGUCACCCCAAAAUGAAAAUCAAUGACUGUCAUGCUACAGAGUUCAAAUCUUUUCAAAUAAGCAUAUUUUAAAUUGGCACUACACAUUUGGUUUACAAGAUGUAAGAAACAAUGGUAUUUGGUUUCAUUUAUGCUUUUAACUGUCUGAUAUGAAGCUAUCAUAUGACUGUGACUGUCUGCUUUUAUCCUAGCUAACAAACAUAUAUGUUUUGCUAACGUUACCAUUAAGUUAUAUGUUAUUUUGAAUGUUUUAAUAAAAAUAUUUUUUUGUAAUACAAUGUUAGACAAAACAUUAAGGUUUAAGUUUUAGGUUUAACUUUAAGUUUCAGAAAAAUCCUUUUUUUUUUAUGUUGUUUUGAGAACAUUAAAGACCAGACAACUUUGAACAAACGGUCUGUUAAGAACUGGAAGAACCUGUGAAUGACUUUAAGAGAACAAAGUUAUGAGAACAUUCCUUGUUAGCCGGGAUGGUAUAGGCCUACUGUCCCCUUUUUGAACAAACAGGCCUGGUUAAUGUAUGUUGAAUGUGAACCUCUAAAAUUCCUCCUUUACAGCAUUACUUGCAAGAAAGAAAGAAGUUUGAAAUGACAUGAGCGUGAGUAAAUGAUAACAUCUUUUAAACUAUUCUGUUAAAUUAAUUCGGAGUAA